UGGCUCAGUGGGUAAAGUGUCUGCCUGCAAUGCAGGAGACCUGGGUUCGAUCCCAG
Molecule: transfer RNA, 56 nt
Filed under: Ovis aries (sheep)
Lineage: Eukaryota; Metazoa; Chordata; Mammalia; Artiodactyla; Bovidae
Rfam family: tRNA
About the family: Transfer RNA (tRNA) molecules are approximately 80 nucleotides in length. Their secondary structure includes four short double-helical elements and three loops (D, anti-codon, and T loops).
Source: Rfam by way of RNAcentral